GUUUGUGGUGAAAGCUUGUGCAUGGAUAAAUUCAGUUUCCUUUCCUCGCUCUGCAACCGAUUCUGCUUCUUGUGAUAAGGUUUGCUUGAGGAGGGAGAGAGGCAGAGAGCUGAAAGUCUAAAAGCUCACAAAAGCACAGACAACUUCACAGAGCAGAACAGAUACAACUUGUCUGCAGCACUGAAAAUUCUUCAUCGAUUCAGAACUCAUUCAGAAGGAGAUUUUAUACUACUGGCGUGAGGACUGAGGGACUCUAAGCUCCAAAUCGAGGAGGAAUUAAAAAAAUGCUGUUCGUCCUGGUUUCAUCCACACUUCUGUGUGUUAUUGCAUGGAUGAAUUCAAUUCAAGGAAUACAUGGAUUGGUGCACAACUGCAAAUGUCUCAAGCCAACAGACACAAAAGUUAAUAAAACAAAAAUUGUCAGCUGCACCAUUCAAGAAGAAAGCAUCUGUAAUGUAAGAGUUGUAAUGUUUCUAACAGUCAAAGGAAAGACUAUUUGCGCUGACCCAAACUCCAGUUGGACAAAGGAAGUCAUAAGGACCUUGGAGGAAAAGAAAGCCAGAAUGACCUCAAUACCGAGCCAGUGCCGGCCCUGGGCAUGGUCGACAUAGGCAUCUCGGAACCACCAUCUACUGGAGGGGGCUUCAAAUCACAAUAAUUUUAUUUUCAUGUUGGGGGUUUUUUCAACAGUUUGUGACACCUCUUAUUUCAUAUAAAAAUAAAAUAAUAAGAAUAAAAAAAUAACUUAGAAUAGAAAUGACCUCCAGAUUCAGCCCAUCACAAAUGUAUUUUUGUAAUUCUCCUUUUUUUUUGU
Long non-coding RNA from Oryzias melastigma (Indian medaka), 814 nucleotides. RefSeq lists it as uncharacterized. The transcript has 3 exons. The record is from RefSeq and is a predicted model, not a curated record. Lineage: Eukaryota; Metazoa; Chordata; Actinopteri; Beloniformes; Adrianichthyidae.